GAGGACGAUCAGACACACUGGAACUGAGACACGGUCCAGACUCCUACGGGAGGCAGCAGUGGGGAAUUUUCCGCAAUGGGCGAAAGCCUGACGGAGCAAUACCGCGUGAGGGAUGAAGGCCUAUGGGUUGUAAACCUCUUUUUUCAGGGAGGAACAAAAUGACGUGUACCUGAAGAAUAAGCAUCGGCUAACUCCGUGCCAGCAGCCGCGGUAAGACGGGGGAUGCAAGUGUUAUCCGGAAUCACUGGGCGUAAAGCGUCUGUAGGUGGUUAAGUAAGUCAACUGUUAAAUCUUGAGGCUUAACCUCAAAAUCGCAGUCGAAACUGCUUGACUAGAGUAUAGUAGGGGUAAAGGGAAUUUCCAGUGGAGCGGUGAAAUGCGUAGAUAUUGGAAAGAACACCGAUGGCGAAGGCACUUUACUGGGCUAUUACUAACACUGAGAGACGAAAGCUAGGGUAGCAAAUGGGAUUAGAUACCCCAGUAGUCCUAGCUGUAAACAAUGGAUACUAGAUGUUGAACAGAUCGACCUGUGCAGUAUCAAAGCUAACGCGUUAAGUAUCCCGCCUGGGAAGUAUGCUCGCAAGAGUG
RNAcentral lists this ribosomal RNA (588 nucleotides) under uncultured bacterium. Its description in RNAcentral is "bacterial SSU rRNA". It matches the Rfam family "Bacterial small subunit ribosomal RNA", at positions 296 to 896 of the family's 1533-position model. The record is from RNAcentral.